This 433-nucleotide ribosomal RNA is filed under the name uncultured bacterium. RNAcentral describes it as "partial 16S ribosomal RNA". It matches the Rfam family "Bacterial small subunit ribosomal RNA", at positions 29 to 507 of the family's 1533-position model. The record is from RNAcentral.
AACGAACGCUGGCGGCAUGCCUAACACAUGCAAGUCGAACGAGACCUUCGGGUCUAGUGGCGCACGGGUGCGUAACGCGUGGGAACCUGCCCUUAGGUUCGGAAUAACUCCCUGAAAGGGGUGCUAAUACCGGAUAAUGUCUUCGGACCAAAGAUUUCUCGCCUUUGGAUGGGCCCGCGUUGGAUUAGCUGGUUGGUAGGGUAAAAGCCUACCAAGGCCACGAUCCAUAGCUGGUCGGAGAGGAUGAUCAGCCACACUGGGACUGAGACACGGCCCAGACUCCUACGGGAGGCAGCAGUGGGGAAUAUUGGACAAUGGGCGAAAGCCUGAUCCAGCAAUGCCGCGUGAGUGAUGAAGGCCUUAGGGUUGUAAAGCUCUUUUACCCGGGAUGAUAAUGACAGUACCGGGAGAAUAAGCUCCGGCUAACUCCGUG